AAUCUGGUUAUAGUGUCUGGAGUCCCCGGUACCAUCAUUUCUUUUAGCAUUAAACAUUUUCUAAUGUUCUAAUGCUAAACAAGAGCCCCAGGCAGUCCAUCCCCUCUGUGCUGCUUUGGCUAAUAAGGAAGUAUUAGCCUGUGCAGCAAUGGGCAACUGUGAUUGGCUGAGAGUGUCAGCUGACUGCUUUUAGCCUGUCAAAGCUCCAACUGA
Molecule: non-coding RNA, 213 nt
Organism: Pelobates cultripes (western spadefoot toad)
Lineage: Eukaryota; Metazoa; Chordata; Amphibia; Anura; Pelobatidae
Source: the annotation of a GenBank genome assembly